Molecule: non-coding RNA, 45 nt
Organism: Schistosoma margrebowiei
Lineage: Eukaryota; Metazoa; Platyhelminthes; Trematoda; Strigeidida; Schistosomatidae
Source: Rfam
AUCUAACUGACAAGUCCCAAACAAGAUGAAACGCGCUUUCUGGAU